CGGAUUAGUGGCGAACGGGUGAGUAACAUAUCGGAACGUACCCAGUAAUGGGGGAUAACUAGUCGAAAGACUGGCUAAUACCGCAUACGCCCUGAGGGGGAAAGCGGGGGAUCGAAAGACCUCGUGUUAUUGGAGCGGCCGAUAUCUGAUUAGCUAGUUGGUGGGGUAAAGGCCUACCAAGGCGACGAUCAGUAGCUGGUCUGAGAGGACGACCAGCCACACUGGAACUGAGACACGGUCCAG
RNAcentral lists this ribosomal RNA (243 nucleotides) under uncultured bacterium. Its description in RNAcentral is "partial 16S ribosomal RNA". It matches the Rfam family "Bacterial small subunit ribosomal RNA", at positions 88 to 334 of the family's 1533-position model. The record is from RNAcentral.